CCUACGGGUGGCUGCAGUGGGGAAUUUUGGACAAUGGGCGCAAGCCUGAUCCAGCCAUGCCGCGUGUCUGAAGAAGGCCUUCGGGUUGUAAAGGACUUUUGUCAGGGAGCAAAUCCUGGUGGCUAAUAUCCAUCGGGGAUGAGAGUACCUGAAGAAUAAGCACCGGCUAACUACGUGCCAGCAGCCGCGGUAAUACGUAGGGUGCAAGCGUUAAUCGGAAUUACUGGGCGUAAAGCGUGCGCAGGCGGACUUUUAAGCCAGAUGUGAAAGCCCCG
Molecule: ribosomal RNA, 275 nt
Filed under: uncultured bacterium
Lineage: Bacteria
Description: partial 16S ribosomal RNA
Rfam family: Bacterial small subunit ribosomal RNA
Source: RNAcentral